UUGGUGAGGUAACGGCUCUACCAAGGCAACGAUCAGUAGCCGGCUUGAGAGAGUGGACGGCCACAUUGGGACUGAGACACGGCCCAGACUCCUACGGGAGACAGCAGUUAGGAAUAUUCGUCAAUGGAGGAAACUCUGAACGAGCAAUGCCGCGUGAAGGAUGACGGUCCUAUGGAUUGUAAACUUCUGUUGUUAGGGAAGAACGACUUAAGCAGGAAAUGACUUAAGAGUGACGGUACCUUUCAAGAAAGCUCCGGCUAACUAC
RNAcentral lists this ribosomal RNA (265 nucleotides) under uncultured bacterium. RNAcentral describes it as "partial 16S ribosomal RNA". It matches the Rfam family "Bacterial small subunit ribosomal RNA", at positions 249 to 504 of the family's 1533-position model. The record is from RNAcentral.